RNAcentral lists this ribosomal RNA (924 nucleotides) under uncultured Bacteroidota bacterium. RNAcentral describes it as "bacterial SSU rRNA". It matches the Rfam family "Bacterial small subunit ribosomal RNA", at positions 1 to 916 of the family's 1533-position model. The record is from RNAcentral. Lineage: Bacteria; Pseudomonadati; Bacteroidota.
GGAUCCAGACUUUGAUUAUGGCUCAGGAUGAACGCUAGCUACAGGCUUAACACAUGCAAGUCGAGGGGAAACGACAUCGAAAGCUUGCUUUUGAUGGGCGUCGACCGGCGCACGGGUGAGUAACGCGUAUCCAACCUGCCCACCACUUGGGAAUAACCUUGCGAAAGUAAGACUAAUACCCAAUGAUAUCUCUAGAAGGCAUCAGAAAGAGAUUAAAGAUUUAUCGGUGAUGGAUGGGGAUGCGUCUGAUUAGCUUGUUGGCGGGGUAACGGCCCACCAAGGCUACGAUCAGUAGGGGUUCUGAGAGGAAGGUCCCCCACAUUGGAACUGAGACACGGUCCAAACUCCUACGGGAGGCAGCAGUGAGGAAUAUUGGUCAAUGGACGAGAGUCUGAACCAGCCAAGUAGCGUGCAGGAUGACGGCCCUAUGGGUUGUAAACUGCUUUUAUAAGGGAAUAAAGUGAGUCUCGUGAGACUUUUUGCAUGUACCUUAUGAAUAAGGACCGGCUAAUUCCGUGCCAGCAGCCGCGGUAAUACGGAAGGUCCGGGCGUUAUCCGGAUUUAUUGGGUUUAAAGGGAGCGUAGGCCGGAGAUUAAGCGUGUUGUGAAAUGUAGACGCUCAACGUCUGCACUGCAGCGCGAACUGGUUUCCUUGAGUACGCACAAAGUGGGCGGAAUUCGUGGUGUAGCGGUGAAAUGCUUAGAUAUCACGAAGAACUCCGAUUGCGAAGGCAGCUCACUGGAGCGCAACUGACGCUGAAGCUCGAAAGUGCGGGUAUCGAACAGGAUUAGAUACCCUGGUAGUCCGCACGGUAAACGAUGGAUGCCCGCUGUUGGUCUGAAUAGGUCAGCGGCCAAGCGAAAGCAUUAAGCAUCCCACCUGGGGAGUACGCCGGCAACGGUGCAACUCAAAUGAAUUGACGG